UACGUAGGGGGCUAGCGUUGUCCGGAGUCAUUGGGCGUAAAGAGCGUGUAGGCGGCCCGGUAAGUCCGCUGUGAAAGUCGGGGGCUCAACCCUCGAAUGCCGGUGGAUACUGUCGGGCUAGAGUGCGGAAGAGGCGAGUGGAAUUCCUGGUGUAGCGGUGAAAUGCGCAGAUAUCAGGAGGAACACCAAUUGCGAAGGCAGCUCGCUGGGACGUAACUGACGCUGAGACGCGAAAGCGUGGGGAGCAAACAGG
Molecule: ribosomal RNA, 253 nt
Filed under: uncultured bacterium
Lineage: Bacteria
Description: partial 16S ribosomal RNA
Rfam family: Bacterial small subunit ribosomal RNA
Source: RNAcentral